GGUGGAUAUGUCUCCUUGAAUCUUUCAUCUUUCUCCGUGCAGACAGCAGCAGGAUGGCUGGAAGGUUUAGUCUAGAAACUCCAAGGAAGAAAGAUUGAUGGAAGCGGGUAUGUAGAAGAGAAAGGAUAGCGGCAUUAGGAUUAGACCUCUCCUAGAUUUGAUAGGAUGUGAAAAAGGGAUCUGUAGAGGAAUAUGGUGUCGUGCUAGGGUUAGUAUCUCUCCUAGACUUAUGGAGAAGAAC
This 241-nucleotide long non-coding RNA is filed under the name Elaeis guineensis (African oil palm). RNAcentral's name for it is "long non-coding RNA (EGUI_LNC022121)". The record is from RNAcentral. Lineage: Eukaryota; Viridiplantae; Streptophyta; Magnoliopsida; Arecales; Arecaceae.